CUCUUUCUACUAAAUUAAACAUUGUAAACUUAUAUCAAUAUGAACUUAGUUUAAGCAUCUUCUUAAAAAAUUCUAUACUAGAAUUACUGUCACGGACACAAAAUACAGACUUGAAAUCUAAUAAAAAGUUCAAGAAGAAGUGGCAGAACUAGAUUAAACAGAUGAGUACAAGAACAACACCAGAAAGGUGAGCUAGAACUCCAAGAGAUGUG
Molecule: long non-coding RNA, 212 nt
Filed under: Physcomitrium patens
Lineage: Eukaryota; Viridiplantae; Streptophyta; Bryopsida; Funariales; Funariaceae
Description: long non-coding RNA (PPAT_LNC014772)
Source: RNAcentral